Molecule: unclassified non-coding RNA, 426 nt
Filed under: plant metagenome
Description: partial contains 5.8S ribosomal RNA, internal transcribed spacer 2, and large subunit ribosomal RNA
Rfam family: Bacterial small subunit ribosomal RNA
Source: RNAcentral
GGAAUCUUCCGCAAUGGGCGAAAGCCUGACGGAGCAACGCCGCGUGAGUGAUGAAGGUUUUCGGAUCGUAAAGCUCUGUUGCCAAGGAAGAACGUCUUCUAGAGUAACUGCUAGGAGAGUGACGGUACUUGAGAAGAAAGCCCCGGCUAACUACGUGCCAGCAGCCGCGGUAAUACGUAGGGGGCAAGCGUUGUCCGGAAUUAUUGGGCGUAAAGCGCGCGCAGGCGGUUCUUUAAGUCUGGUGUUUAAACCCGAGGCUCAACUUCGGGUCGCACUGGAAACUGGGGGACUUGAGUGCAGAAGAGGAGAGUGGAAUUCCACGUGUAGCGGUGAAAUGCGUAGAUAUGUGGAGGAACACCAGUGGCGAAGGCGACUCUCUGGGCUGUAACUGACGCUGAGGCGCGAAAGCGUGGGGAGCAAACAGGA